RNAcentral lists this long non-coding RNA (777 nucleotides) under Homo sapiens (human). Its description in RNAcentral is "HSALNT0168923". The record is from RNAcentral. Lineage: Eukaryota; Metazoa; Chordata; Mammalia; Primates; Hominidae.
UGUGGUGGGCGCCUGUAAUCCCAGCUACUCGGGAGGCUGAGACAGGAGAAUCGCUUGAACCCGGGAGGCAAAAGUUGCAGUGAGCCAAGAUCAGGCCACUGCACUCCAGCCUGGGCGACAGAGGGAGACUCCGUCUCAAAAAAAGAAAAAAAAAAAAAAAGAAUGAGAAAACCACAGGAUAUACACACAAAAAGCAUUUCCCCCUCAUUACUUCUGCCUCCACAAAGAUGGUUUUGUUUUGUUUUUUUAUUUUUCAACAUGAACUGUUCUACUACAGGAGAGGUUUUUCUAUUUAUCUAAAUUGAUCACUAUAAAGAAAGAAGAUUUGGGAAGUAUAGACAUGGACCCAAAAAAUCACAAAUUCUAAAGAAGUUUAUUUUAAAAUUAAUUUCAGAGAGCUCAUCCUCCAGAACGCUUAGACCAUUCUAUGUGUCUGAGCUUACUCAACAAAAAAAUAAGAGCUGGGCAGGGUUGAUAUAAAAACAAGUACUGAGAAGCUAUAGGAACUGUUUUAUGGGCAGGAUCAAGAGACUUGUUUGUGUAUCUAAUAAUUAAGUCAAAAUUAAAGAGUGAAACAUAUGAGCACAUACUUCUUUUACGAGAUGUAGACAGAGAACUAUUUAGAGAUGCAAACAAAAUAAAGUUGACCUAAAAAAUCAGAAAAAAAGCUUGCUGACAUUCAUAACUUUACGUUAUCAUUUCUCAAAGAAAAUAGUAAAAUGGGCCGGCAUGAUGGCUCACGCCUGUAAUCCAACACUUUGGGAAGCCGAGGCGGGC